GUCAGAUGAGCUAAAAAUAUAUCUAGGAAUCUAAGAAAUCCAUAAAUGUAGCCUACAUUGAAUCAACGGUAGCCACUUAGGCCAAGGUCCAGGCCGUGGUCCCGUGUAUUCUACAGAUAGUGAUGUUAUUCUUUCUUCUAGUAGCCGGUGAGCCCGUUCCACUGCCCCUUGUGACUGGGGGUGUCGGGGUCUGCUGUGGAUUAGGUUGCAGCUACCAGGCCACUCAUCGAGAAUUUUCUGGAGUCCGGAGAAUUCUUUUCCGUUGUCGGUCUGUAGGAUCGACGGAAGUCCAGUGACGGCGAAAACUUCUCUUACAGCAGUGUUGACUUCUUGAACGGUUUUGUGCAUCAGCGGGAAAAUGAAAUUAAAUUUUGAAGCGUGAUCUAUGAGGUGACCGAUCCAGUUGUAGCCAUCGACCUCUUGCUUUUGCAUGUCUAUUAAAUCGAGCUGUAAAAAAAAAACAUACAGGUGUGCAUGGAAAUUAGGAAUACUAUACAAAUAAUGCACAUCAGUGAGGGCGUUAGUAAGAAUAAUCAACACGAGGUAACUGUGGAACAGUGUGUUUUGAACUGUUUCAAAGUUACCGAGUGUUGAUGAUUCUUACUAGCAUGCCCAAACAAAAUGAUGUACAUUAUUUGUUUUAUAAAAUGGACGUGAAUCCUUGUCAUUUGAUAAUACACUCUUUAUUAUAUAUCAUUUAUAAUACACUCUCUUUAUUGAUUUUUUGUUUUCGCACGCGUAUUAAAAGAACGCCCAGAGACAAACAAUUGUUCAAUUGUCUCUGCAACGGCAGUUAUGCCUCCACUAAUUAUGGCGGGAUCGUUCAUCAACCUAUGAGGCGUCAUCAAGCGUCCAAUAAAAAUAGUAAAAAAGUACUAUUGACAUGUCAUUAGUAAAAAAUAAUGACUCGUCGUUAGCACAAAUCUGUUAGACAAAAUAAAUGCCUGGUCACGUGUCCACUCCCAGCCAAUCAUUUGAUUAGGAUUCACAUAACCAUUUCAUAAUGCAAUAUAAAUGUAAAUGCUUCUUAAAAUGUAACAGACAGUUAUUAUAUAUCAAGUAAGCAUCUGACUCAAUUAAUGAGUAACUAUAUAAAUCCAUGUUUAUUUAAACUUAAACAAGUUUCUAACGCAGGAAGACAUACCUGAAAUCUACUGAAUACACCUUGGCUUACGAUGACCACUGGCUCUGCAGUGUUUCUUUGGGAUCCUCUCAACUGGCAUGUCAAACAGGUUUGAACAAAUUUGGUAACUGCACUGUAGGGCACCCCACAAUACUGUUGCUUCACCUGGAACACAGUUGUAACAAGUUUUACUUUACAUAAGUUUUCAGACACGACAAAAAAUUGCUCAAAACGUUAUACAUGGAUGGUGUUUUUAACAACAAGGUAAUACUGCCGUGCUUUUUCCAUUCGUAAUUGGAUAUACCCUAAGCUAUAUAAUUGUAAACAUUUGCUCCUGAAUCCUAUAGCUAAACUUUCAUGUGUGAUUUUGAUAAUCAACUUUAAAUCGCGGAGACCAGAAGUGUCGUACGUAGCCAGGGAAUAAAAUUGAACGUUUGCCUACGCAAUAUUUAGAAAAUAAAGUGAUAAUUUGAA
Molecule: long non-coding RNA, 1597 nt
Filed under: Priapulus caudatus
Lineage: Eukaryota; Metazoa; Priapulida; Priapulimorpha; Priapulimorphida; Priapulidae
Description: uncharacterized LOC106817855
Source: RNAcentral